Molecule: ribosomal RNA, 1081 nt
Filed under: bacterium endosymbiont of Donacia versicolorea
Lineage: Bacteria
Description: bacterial SSU rRNA
Rfam family: Bacterial small subunit ribosomal RNA
Source: RNAcentral
AAAGCCUGAUGCAGCUAUGCCGCGUGUAUGAAGAAGGCCUUCGGGUUGUAAAGUACUUUCAACAAGAAAGAAAAAAUAAAAUCUAAUAUAUUUUAUUCUUGACGUUACUUGGAAAAGAAGCACCGGCUAACUCCGUGCCAGCAGCCGCGGUAAUACGGAGGGUGCUAGCGUUAAUCGGAAUUACUGGGCGUAAAGAGCACGUAGGCGGUUAAUUAAGUCAGAUGUGAAAUCCCUAAGCUUAACUUAGGAACUGCAUUUGAAACUAAUUAACUUGAGUUUCGUAGAGGGGGGUAGAAUUCCAGGUGUAGCGGUGAAAUGCGUAGAUAUCUGGAGGAAUACCAGUGGCGAAGGCGACCCCCUGGACGAAUACUGACGCUCAGGUGCGAAAGCAUGGGGAGCAAACAGGAUUAGAUACCCUGGUAGUCCAUGCUGUAAACGAUGUCGACUUGAAGGUUGUAAGCUUGACUUGUAACUUUCGUAGCUAACGCGUUAAGUCGACCGCCUGGGGAGUACGACCGCAAGGUUAAAACUCAAAUGAAUUGACGGGGGCCCGCACAAGCGGUGGAGCAUGUGGUUUAAUUCGAUGCAACGCGAAAAACCUUACCUGGUCUUGACAUCCAUGGAAUUUAAUAGAGAUAUUUAAGUGCCUUCGGGAACCAUGAGACAGGUGCUGCAUGGCUGUCGUCAGCUCGUGUUGUGAAAUGUUGGGUUAAGUCCCGCAACGAGCGCAACCCUUGUCCUUUGUUGCCAUCAGUUUAGCUGGGAACUCAAAGGAAACUGCCGGUGAUAAACCGGAGGAAGGUGAGGACGACGUCAAGUCAUCAUGGCCCUUACGACCAGGGCUACACACGUGCUACAAUGGUAUAUACAAAGGGAAGCAUCCUCGUAAGAGUAAGCGGAUCUCACAAAAUAUAUCUUAGUUCGGAUUGGAGUCUGCAACUCGACUCUAUGAAGUCGGAAUCGCUAGUAAUCGUAGAUCAGAACGCUACGGUGAAUACGUUCCCGGGCCUUGUACACACCGCCCGUCACACCAUGGGAGUGGGUUGUAAAAGAAGUAAAUUGCUUAACCAUUUUUGGAGGG